Non-coding RNA from Pelodiscus sinensis (Chinese soft-shelled turtle), 1177 nucleotides. NCBI's taxonomy places the organism in Eukaryota, Metazoa, Chordata, Testudines, Trionychidae. The record is from RefSeq and is a predicted model, not a curated record.
AAAACAAAAGAGCCAGCCUUCAAUGUACGCAAUUAUGUGAAUGUCAUUAAUAAGGAGGCAGGAUUUUUCUCUCUUCUAAAGCCCAUGUUAUUACUAGAGAAACAAUUUAAUCUCAUUGUUUACAGAAGUUGUUUAAAUAAUAUUUUGUCGUUAUAGUAACUAAUGAAAUUCUACAUAUGAUGUAAAACACCAUACUGAAGAUCUACAUUAUGUCAUCAUAACAACUAGAAUUCAAAAAGCAUGCUUAAGGAAAGAACAGAAGCCUGGAAUUGUGAGAGGUUAAAAAAGUCACCGAAGACAGAACAGCUGGCUGCUAGAGCUCGUCGACCUCCAAAGAGAAAGAUUCAGUGUGACUACAUAAACAAUAGAAAGCCCACUGGACAGCGCACAGGUGCUAAGCAGUCAUUUUAUACGAUGGAAAUGUGUAAUCUAGUCCUCUUCCAACACUAUAUAGUUCCUGGAUUGUGGAAAUACUGCAAGAAGAUCAGAUCUUACAUUAUUUCAGCCCCAAUAUGGUGUCCUGAGGCAAAAAAUAUUUAAAUGUGACCACAAAUACCAAGCUCUUCACACGUUGCCUAGUUGGUGCACAUAGGAUUAACUUAGUGCACAUGGACCAUGAAGACACAGCCCUGGUUUAUUCUCCUGUAAGUUGUGUUUAAGAAACAAAUGAAAAUUGUGUAUAUUAAAAAGCAAAUGACAGCAAAAUAAAGUAACCCAGGGGGUAAGGGCAGGCUUGAACUAUUGCUCUCUUUGAAAAACUCUGGCUAACUGGGCCAGAAAGUGGAUGUGCAGAGCUUCUAACUUAAUGUAAGAUCAACAAUGCUGGAAAACAGUUUGCUUUCCCAGAGCUCAUUUGUUUUGUUUGCCAAUGACAUCAUCAUGUUCUGAUAGGUUUUGCUUCCUGAGGAUGCCUGUUAUCUCGCCAGUGUUUCCGACUUGCCAAAGUCAGCCGGCUCUGGAAGGUAGUGGAAACACAGGUUAAACUUUCUUUGGCCCCCUGUAAGUUACCACGAUCAGAGUCAAAGAAAUGAGGGUGCAUUCAGGCAUGGAAACACUGCCUUAGAACACACAUAUGCAAGCAAAAGUUAAGGAUUAAAAUCUCCAGUACCUGCCUACAAUAGAACCCCCAAGGGCAACAUUGAAAGAGUUCCUGAUUGUGGAUUGCACACAAAAAAGA